AUACAUACAUACAUACAUACAUACAUACAUACAUACAUACAUACAUACAUACAUACAUACAUACAUAUUAUCCACUUUCCUAACCUGUGUACAUAAAUGAUAGUAUAGUCACAAAUCAUACAUACAUUAUAAUAUACAUACAUAUAUACAUACAUACACGUUGUUUAUAUGAAUACGUUCUUACAUGUGAUGGUAGUAUUAAUGUUCUUCUCAGUAUAUGUUCUUGUUCACCAUCACUCACUAUAGGCGAAGCUCAGUGUUAUAGUGAACAAAAUGUGCUCAAGAUACUGUAGGUGUGGAUAUAUAUUCCGGGGUUCAUUUUAAUUCAAAGGAUUUUUUUUUUUUUACGUGAAGUUCAGUUUCGUUUUAGGGGUUCAGUCUGAAUUAUGGAGAGUUCAGAAUCGUUCCGGGGUUCAUUUUGUAUGGAAGGAGUUCAGUUGUGUUUUUUGUGUUCAGUUUGUAUUGUGAAGAGUUCAGUAUUGUUUCGAGUGGUUUAUUUUGUACUCAGUAUCGUUCCGGGGGUUCAUUUUGUGGCACAGGCGUUCAACUUGUUUCUUGAGGUUUACUUUCAAUUUCAGAUCAAUAUUUUUAGUUCCUUGGAUUUAUAGAUCAGUUUGGGGUUCAUUCUAGGACUUAACUUAUGGAUUCAAUUUUAAGUUCAAGUCUGGAUUCAAUUUUGGGUGUCAACUUUGACUUCCAAUCCGACAGUAACGAUAACAGUCAGAAACGCCAGUGUAGGCAGACGGGAGACAACCGAGCCUUCAUCUAAUGGAGAGGUAAACAAACGCCAGACGCUCCUGGUGGCUCGUGUUGGCGAUGGAUGAUAUGGUGAAGUACGGGUCCUAAAAGCCUUGGAAGGAUUCUCCUCUGUGGGGGAAGCACAUCCUAAGCUCUCAAGGGGGAUGGGAGAUAGAAGGAUAACUUCACUAAGAGAGGAGAAUUACUUUGAUUUUGAAUUUGAAAUCUAAUGUAAGUUUGAGAAGAGGAAUGCUACUUUGAUUUUGACUUUUGAGUUAGAUCACUAGCGUAAAAUUGAAGAUGAAUCAUUAUGUACGCUCAAGGGUCGAUGAAUUUUGUUUGUUUCAAGAAGCCAACUGCAUUCGAUUUAGAUUUAGAUGAAUAUUGUGAAUUUGAUGACUAUUUCGGGUAUAAGUGUUAGCCUUAGAAAGCAAAUAGGUCAAACUGUAAGGGAAUUCUCUCAAAAAAAUUGUGAGAAUUACUUAAUGAAGGUUAAUACGCCCGCGACAGGCUCAGUAGGACAGGUAAGAGGGUUGUCACUGUCCCAAAUUAUUGCUCAUGUCUUAUUGAGAUCCGUAAACGACUAGUACAGGUAGAUGUAACAUAAGGACUAUUUUUGUUAGACGAGAGUGUAUAUUGUGUAUGUAUGUUAAGAAAGUGUAAUGGGGUGCUAUAUUGAAAGGGUGAUUAAGGGUGAUUAAGGGAGAUUAUUUCCAUUAGGGUGAUUAUGAUAUAAGGUUAUAGGUAAGAUUAUCCAUAAAAUAAUACGUAGUUAACACAUGCAUUAACACGUCACUUAAAGAUAAUUCAAAAAGCAAUAUUUUCUUUGUUUGUACAGUAGAUAUCAAGUCUAUUGUACUGGAUAGUAAACCGUAUUUUUUUUCCCAUGAUAGAUAUGUCGUAGUUUCCAUAGUGGACAAAAUUUCUUUAUCUAACAGAGGAAGAUUUAAUCUCCCUUAUUAAUGACUUAACUAACGCAGGUGCUAUACAGAGUGUGCUGAGGAGAGCGAGGUAACUUAACUAAUUAACUAACUCAAGACUUCACUAUAAGCAUCAACACUGUCUUCUCCAUUCCGUGUAUAUAUAUAUAUCAAUAACUAACGAAAUAACGACGUGAUUGAUGCUACCCGGAUAACUGAUUGUUAUACAAAAGAAACAACUAUUUUCUCCUGUUAUAGAUAUUUAAUACUAUCUUGUAUAUGUGGGUAUAGUGUGGGUGUUAGUAUUUCCUCCCCGCUCUUGGCUACGUGUCUGGAUAAUGAUAACUAAUCCCUCUGCGUGUUGUGGUGUUAAGCUUAUACGUGUGUUCUUUGGUUGAUCAAUUUUUCACCUGUGUGUAUAUACCCGGAGGAGAUAAUUAUUUUGUCUUUGUUUAUCUAGUAGGAAUUUAUAUCGUCACUAUGUUCUUAGAGAAAUAAUUGCUCACACUUCGCUUGUAUGUCUGUUAUUAAUGUGGAAAUAAACAGAGAACAAGGUAAAGAUAUUAUCCAAUUAUAUUAUAUCAGUUUUUACAUUCCUUCUUAUUAUUUUCUUGACGGUGUGGUACUGGUGACGCCCCUCAGUGUUUCUUACUUGCUUGGUGUCUACCCAUUAUCUUACAACAGUGAACAGUAAGGGAGUUUUAAUGGUCACUCAAUGCAUAACAGUAGAGCGUCACUAAUGGGAAAUAAUUCAGAGUCUUAUAGGUGAAUUAUCGUAAUACAACACAAGGCCACGAAUUAUUAUUUUUUUAUUUGUAUGAUUUAUCUCAAGUACUUAAUGGGUUAAUGGCCUUCAUGUUUAGCGGUGUAUAUCCAUGUAUCGUUUUGUUAUGAUUUUAUUGUACUUUGAUAAAUAAUAAUACUACGAUGGCGUACAUAUUCAGGAAAAUUUAAAGGUCUGUUGAGUUAAAGUUUAGCUAAUAUAUUAAGGCGAUGUGUGAAUGUCUCUCUGUGUGCUUGGGUAAUAUGUUAUUUUCUUACUUUGUUGUGGUUAGAUUAGGUUAGGUUAGGUUAGGUUAGGUUAGGUCAAGAAAACUUAUUCUGUGACUUACGAUGAGUCACAAGUCAGUCAAUGUGUUGUUUACCAAUCAGUCACAUCUAACAGUCAGUAAUGAUAACAGAGUGUGACUGUUUUACUCUUUUUUGUCUAUAAUAUCGUAACACUUGUCACCUCCUGUGAUCUAAAUGUUAUGUAACGUGUCCGAGAUAUAUUUUUUCUUUGGUAAUACUCUAUCUGAUAAAUCCUAUACAGGUCUAUCCUACUGUAAUAAUAUCCAAGUGAAUAUGUAUCACUUGACUGUAACUGCCAAAAUACAGUAGGAUACAUAAAUGCUCUAAUACCACGAAUAAUUAUGUGUUAUUACAGGAGAAAAAUCACACAUAGACACAGAUUAUAUACGAUACAUAGAGCUCACCUGUAUCCCACUACGCCCACCAUCGUCUGUAACAGGUUAAUUAAAUGUCAUGUUGAGGGAAUAUGAUAUCCUAUAGGACAUCUCCUUCUUGACCUGUACCCUACGUGGUGGUGUAUAGGACCACCUAAGUCUUCAUCCCUGUACACAACAAUGUCAAUAAAAACAGUUCUCUGGA
RNAcentral lists this long non-coding RNA (3308 nucleotides) under Homarus americanus (American lobster). RNAcentral's name for it is "uncharacterized LOC121854715". Lineage: Eukaryota; Metazoa; Arthropoda; Malacostraca; Decapoda; Nephropidae. The record is from RNAcentral.